AACGAACGCUGGCGGCAUGCCUAACACAUGCAAGUCGAACGAGACCUUCGGGUCUAGUGGCGCACGGGUGCGUAACGCGUGGGAACCUGCCCUUAGGUUCGGAAUAACUCCCCGAAAGGGGUGCUAAUACCGGUUAAUGUCUUCGGACCAAAGAUUUAUCGCCUUUGGAUGGGCCCGCGUUGGAUUAGCUAGUUGGUAGGGUAAAAGCCUACCAAGGCGACGAUCCAUAGCUGGUCUGAGAGGAUGAUCAGCCACACUGGGACUGAGACACGGCCCAGACUCCUACGGGAGGCAGCAGUGGGGAAUAUUGGACGAUGGGCGAAAGCCUGAUCCAGCAAUGCCGCGUGAGUGAUGAAGGCAUUAGGGUUGUAAAGCUCUUUUACCCGGGAUGAUAAUGACAGUACCGGGAGAAUAAGCUCCGGCUAACUCCGUG
RNAcentral lists this ribosomal RNA (433 nucleotides) under uncultured bacterium. RNAcentral's name for it is "partial 16S ribosomal RNA". It matches the Rfam family "Bacterial small subunit ribosomal RNA", at positions 29 to 507 of the family's 1533-position model. The record is from RNAcentral.